GCACCUGUAGCUCAAUUGGAUAGAGCGCCUGACUACGAAUCAGGAGGUUCGGGGUUCAAGUCCCUGCAGGUGUGCCA
RNAcentral lists this transfer RNA (77 nucleotides) under Puniceicoccaceae bacterium MED-G30. Its description in RNAcentral is "tRNA-Arg". It matches the Rfam family "tRNA". Rfam says of the family: Transfer RNA (tRNA) molecules are approximately 80 nucleotides in length. Their secondary structure includes four short double-helical elements and three loops (D, anti-codon, and T loops). RNAcentral also lists the same sequence under 4 other names. Lineage: Bacteria; Pseudomonadati; Verrucomicrobiota; Opitutia; Puniceicoccales; Puniceicoccaceae. The record is from RNAcentral.